Mastomys coucha (southern multimammate mouse) is the source of this 1080-nucleotide long non-coding RNA. RefSeq lists it as uncharacterized. Lineage: Eukaryota; Metazoa; Chordata; Mammalia; Rodentia; Muridae. The transcript has 2 exons. The record is from RefSeq and is a predicted model, not a curated record.
AGCAAUUGACUGAGCUGUAUUGUUUGAGAGGUUGGUGCCAUUUGAGGAUGAGACUGUGGACUUCAGUCAGGAGGAGUGGUCAUGCCUGGACCUUAUCCACAGACCUCUAUACCAGUGGAACUGUGGCAGGAUGCUGACACUACAGAAACAUCAGCAAAACAAGAUCUCACCCUUGGAGGCUUUUAUUGACAAGAAUGCUCUGAGCACAGACCAGAUUUGAAUGUUAAGCGCCUGGGAAAAACCAUUCUUUUCAGACUCCCAUCUCAUUUCUACAGAAAAGUGAGUUCCAAAAUUCUCAGAUGCAAGAAGUUGGAAGCCUAUCCUACAAACAAGUGAAGAAAAUCAAAACCAUGUCAGAAAAUAACUUAAUGAUUUUGUUGCCUCUGGUCCGCUCUCCUCUUCAACUCUUCCCAUGUCAGCUGGGAGAUUCCUCCAAGAAAAAGAAAAAUCAUGCAGAAAGUACCCAGUGCAGAAAAACCCCCAGCCAUAAACAGACACGUAUACAGCACGAAUGUACCAAAUGUAAGAAUGUGCCCAACACAAACCAGCUCUCCAUAAAUACCAGGUAAUUUGCACUAUGGGCAGACAUUUUCUCUGUGACAAACGUGGGGAGUUCUCCCGUUAGAACAGGGAGCUGACAUCCCAUCAGUGGACUCCCAUCGUUAACAAGACUUAAGAGUGCUAUGACAGUGGAAAAUUAUCCAGUCAUACAUUCCCAACUGAAAAUACACCACCAAAUUCAAAGGGAAGAAAAUAUUAGAAACGCCCCGACUGUGGGAAAUCUUUCAGUCACACAUUCCAACGGAAGGCACACCAUCAAAUUAACACAGGAAGAAAUCAUAUGUGUGUUUUAGAUGUGGCAAAGCCUUCAGUCAGAAGCCAACACACAGCACACACCAAAAAAUUCAUUCAGAGUCUGGGAUUCAUUCUUCUGACAUUGCUCUUAGGACGCAAUACUAAUGAAAGAAAGCCCAACUUGGUGUGACUGUUCAUGUGGAAGAAAUAAAACCCAAACUGCCUACUGUCCUGCAACUAGAAAAUAUAUUAUUUAACAUCUCAUUAAAAUUCACCUUAACCAAA